Molecule: ribosomal RNA, 253 nt
Filed under: uncultured bacterium
Lineage: Bacteria
Description: partial 16S ribosomal RNA
Rfam family: Bacterial small subunit ribosomal RNA
Source: RNAcentral
GACGGAGGAUGCAAGCGUUAUCCGGAAUGAUUGGGCGUAAAGCGUCCGCAGGUGGCACCUCAAGUCUGCUGUCAAAGACCGGGGCUUAACCCCAGAAAGGCAGUGGAAACUGAAGUGCUAGAGUGCAGUAGGGGUAGAGGGAAUUCCCGGUGUAGCGGUGAAAUGCGUAGAGAUCGGGAAGAACAUCGGUGGCGAAAGCGCUCUGCUGGACUGCAACUGACACUCAGGGACGAAAGCUAGGGGAGCGAAUGGG